This 472-nucleotide ribosomal RNA is filed under the name uncultured bacterium. Its description in RNAcentral is "bacterial SSU rRNA". It matches the Rfam family "Bacterial small subunit ribosomal RNA", at positions 915 to 1391 of the family's 1533-position model. The record is from RNAcentral.
GGGGGCCCGCAAGCAGCGGAGCAUGUGGUUUAAUUCGAAGCAACGCGAAGAACCUUACCUAGACUUGACAUCUCCUGCAUUACCCUUAAUCGGGGAAGUUCCUUCGGGAACAGGAAGACAGGUGGUGCAUGGUUGUCGUCAGCUCGUGUCGUGAGAUGUUGGGUUAAGUCCCGCAACGAGCGCAACCCUUAUUGUUAGUUGCUACCAUUUAGUUGAGCACUCUAGCGAGACUGCCCGGGUUAACCGGGAGGAAGGUGGGGAUGACGUCAAAUCAUCAUGCCCCUUAUGUCUAGGGCUACACACGUGCUACAAUGGCAAGUACAAAGAGAAGCAAGACCGCGAGGUGGAGCAAAACUCAAAAACUUGUCUCAGUUCGGAUUGUAGGCUGAAACUCGCCUACAUGAAGCUGGAGUUGCUAGUAAUCGCGAAUCAGCAUGUCGCGGUGAAUACGUUCCCGGGCCUUGUACACACC